UACAGAGGUCUCAAGCGUUGUUCGGAUUCAUUGGGCGUAAAGGGUGCGUAGGCGGCACGGUAAGUCGGGUGUGAAAUCUCGGGGCUUAACUCCGAAACUGCAUUCGAUACUGCCGUGCUUGAGGACUGGAGAGGAGACUGGAAUUUACGGUGUAGCGGUGAAAUGCGUAGAUAUCGUAAGGAAGACCAGUGGCGAAGGCGGGUCUCUGGACAGUUCCUGACGCUGAGGCACGAAGGCCAGGGGAGCAAACGGG
RNAcentral lists this ribosomal RNA (253 nucleotides) under uncultured bacterium. RNAcentral's name for it is "partial 16S ribosomal RNA". It matches the Rfam family "Bacterial small subunit ribosomal RNA", at positions 524 to 776 of the family's 1533-position model. The record is from RNAcentral.